RNAcentral lists this long non-coding RNA (215 nucleotides) under Elaeis guineensis (African oil palm). RNAcentral describes it as "long non-coding RNA (EGUI_LNC033932)". Lineage: Eukaryota; Viridiplantae; Streptophyta; Magnoliopsida; Arecales; Arecaceae. The record is from RNAcentral.
CUUGAGUUUUCAUUUGAACAUUCAUAAAGACAUGAAGGUAAUAAAUUGAGAGGGAGCAACUAAAAUGACUAGAAGUUUCCAACAUCACAUUAAGGGGAAGAUUAAAUAUUUUGCAAACCUCUUAUAAAACGAAAGAAAUUUAGUUAAAUGUUUUAAUGAUUAUAAAAUUUAGUGGUAUCAAGCUUAAAUGUUUGAAUUUAGUGGUAUCAUGCUUC